RNAcentral lists this ribosomal RNA (1563 nucleotides) under Euretaster insignis. RNAcentral's name for it is "16S ribosomal RNA". The stretch from base 745 to 1563 matches the Rfam family "Archaeal large subunit ribosomal RNA", at positions 1423 to 2893 of the family's 2987-position model. The record is from RNAcentral. Lineage: Eukaryota; Metazoa; Echinodermata; Asteroidea; Velatida; Pterasteridae.
AAAAUCUUUAGGUUUAUUUUUUAACAAAAUAUUGGAAGAAAAUGAUAAGGUAAAGUAUAGUAAUUAGAAAUUGAUGAUUUAGCUAUAGAGAAAGUACUGUAAGGGAAAAUUGAAAUAACUUGAAAAGUUAAGUAAGGAAUAGGAAAAGUAAAGAUUUUUACCUUUUGCAUAAUGGUCUAGUGAGAUUAAAUAAAAAAGUUUUGAUUAUCCGAAAUUGAAUGAGCUAAUGUAUUCUGUUUUAUGAAUAAAAGUUUUACUGUUGCAAAAGUAAAGUUUAGAGGAUAAAUUAGAGAUGAAAUGUCAAUCGUAUUCAAUGAUAGCUGAUUCUUUAAGAAAUAAAUUGAAGUUGAAGGUACAGUUUUAUAAGGUUAAGUUAUUAUUAUUUAAUAAAUAAAAUAAUUAAAAUAAUAUUGUAUUUUUAGAUAGAUAAGGUUAAGCUUGUUUAUCAAUAAGGAAAAAUCCUUAGUAGUAGGUUAAAGAUAGAAAUAAAAUUAAAUGUUGAAAUGAAUAAUUAGUAAGAUGAGAAGUAUCAAUCUAGAGAUAAAGUGUUAAAACUAAGUAAAAUAAGGUAAAUAAAUAAUUUUAAUAAAAAAUCUGAGGCUGCUAAAUAUUUAUUAAAGAAUUUUAUGAAUUUAGAAUUUAUUAUGCUAGAAUUAGUAGAGUAAGUAUUUUUUGUGAAUUAAUCAAUUCUAACUUUGGAUGAAUAAAUUUUGAGAAAGCGAGAAUAAUGAUUAUUGAAUUGUCUUCCAACGCAGGAAAUAUGGUUUUAUAAAAAUGAAAGAAAGGAAUUCGGCAAAUAGAGAUUUCGCCUGUUUACCAAAAACAUUGCUCUUUGAUGAAUGUUAAUGAAAAAUAAGGAGUACUGCCUGCCCAGUGACGUUGUUUAACGGCUGCGGUAUUUUGACCGUGCAAAGGUAGCAUAAUCAUUUGCCUUUUAAAAGAAGGCUGGAAUGAAUGGCAAGACGGAAUUUAGCUGUCUCUUUUUAAAAACUUGAAUUUAAUAUCCUUGUGAAGAAGCAGGGAUUAGGUCGUAGGACGAGAAGACCCUAUUGAGCUUAAGUUAAUUUAUAGAAUUUUGUUGUAGUUUUAUUUACUAAUACGUUUAUUUUGUAAAAGUGAAAGUUAAAAAUAGAGCAAUAAAGGUUUAUAAUAAAAUUUUGAUUGGGGUAAUUGUGGAGAAUAAGAAACCUUCAUUAAGAAAUACUAAAAUUAAAGAUUUAGGAAAGGUAGUGAAAUGACCCACAGUAAGAAGUGAGUAAAGGAACAAGUUACCAUAGGGAUAACAGCGUAAUCUUUUUGGAGAGUUCAUAUUGAUAAAAGGGUUUGCGACCUCGAUGUUGGAUCGAGAUUUCCUAAAAAUGCAGAAGUUAAAAAGGGUUGGUCUGUUCGACCAUUAAAAUCUUACGUGAUCUGAGUUCAGACCGACGCAAGUCAGGUCAGUUUCUAUCCACGAUGAAAUAAAUUUUUUUUAGUACGAAAGGAAUAAAAAGGUAAUAUCAAUGUUGAAGAUAAAUAUUAAAAUUUUUCUGAAGGAAAAUUAAGGUGUUAGUUAAUUUGGCUUUU